RNAcentral lists this ribosomal RNA (491 nucleotides) under uncultured bacterium. Its description in RNAcentral is "partial 16S ribosomal RNA". It matches the Rfam family "Bacterial small subunit ribosomal RNA", at positions 29 to 507 of the family's 1533-position model. The record is from RNAcentral.
AGUGAACGCUGGCGGUAGGCCUAACACAUGCAAGUCGAACGGCGGCACAGUAAGAGCUUGCUCUUACGGGUGGCGAGUGGCGGACGGGUGAGGAAUACAUCGGAAUCUACUUUUUCGUGGGGGUUAACGAAGGAAACCUACCCCUAUUCCCCAUACGACCUACGGGUGAAAGCAGGGGAUCUUCGGACCUUGCGCGAUUGAAUUAGCCGAUGUCGGAUUAGCUAGUUGGCGGGGUAAAGGCCCACCAAGGCGACGAUCCGUAGCUGGUCUGAGAGGAUGAUCAGCCACACUGGAACUAAGACACGGUCCAGACUCCUACGGGAGGCAGCAGUGGGGAAUAUUGGACAAUGGGCGCAAGCCUGAUCCAGCCAUACCGCGUGGGUGAAGAAGGCCUUCGGGUUGUAAAGCCCUUUUGUUGGGAAAGAAAAGCAGCAGGUUAAUACCCCGCUGUUCUGACGGUACCCAAAGAAUAAGCACCGGCUAACUUCGUG